Molecule: long non-coding RNA, 1171 nt
Organism: Nicrophorus vespilloides
Lineage: Eukaryota; Metazoa; Arthropoda; Insecta; Coleoptera; Silphidae
Exons: 3
Source: RefSeq, a predicted model, not a curated record
ACACUAGCAGCUUGUAGCUUGCUCUAGUCAGAUCAGUUUCUAGUAUUUGUCCGUCCUUCUUGUGUUCAAUUUUAAAUAUUCCUACAGCACCUUCUAAUAAUCUAUAAUUUAUAAAAGGAAAAGAAUGAAAAAAAAAUCAACCAGGAAAUGAUGUCAUUGCAUCGAGUGGAUCAAAAUAUAGAAUAGCAACUGGAAUAUCAGUCGAUGAUAACCAUGAUUCACUCCACGACUCUUUGCAAUCAGCUUUAUAAACAGAAGGAACCCGAAAGAACAGUUAAAAUGAAAGAAAUAAGAAUUAAAGAAAAUUAGAAAGACAUUGACGAAACGUUGUUUAAAAGAGAUAAUCGGAGAAAGGAAUUCAUGUAAAGAAACCAUCGAUUAAAUUCGAGCAAAGAUUUUGGAACGUCUCCACGAAAAAAAAAUCCAUUGAAUCAGACGUUAAUACAAUAACAGAAGAAGGGCAAGCAUAUGUAAUAUUUGGAUUCAAUAAUAAUAAAGAUUCAUAGGGAGAUUAUAAAGCAAUUAAUUAUUCAAGUAUAACACAAGCUACAAACAUAUUAUUCACCUGUUUGAUUUCAAGGGAUUUUGAGAAUUCGGGAAUUCGCGAAUUCCUGUGAAACAAGAAGCUGAGCAAUUUUUUUGUAGGUAGUGUUAUACUUGAGCAACCUAAUGCUGUAUAAUCUCGGUAUGAAACUUCAUUAUUAUUUUCUCCAAAUAUAACAUAAGUUUCUCCGCCCACUAUUGUUGUGUUAACGUCUGAUUCAUUUGAUAUCGUCAAGAGGUUCCAAAAUCUUUGCUCCAAUUGAAUCUAUUGUUUGCUUAUAUUUCUUUUUGUGGUUAUCUAAUCUAGAGAAAGUGUUGGCUCGUUAAUCUCAGCCCAUAGGUAUAAAAAGGCUUACAAUGCAAAUGCACGCUUUCUGAAACUGGAAGCAGCAUUACUUCGAAAUGUGCAGACGAAAAUCAAAUGUAUAAAAACCAAUUGUAGAAAGGAAGAGAUUCUAAAAAAAUCGUUGAGGAUAAAAACAAACAAAAACGAAAAGAACCAAAACCGAUGAUAAUGAUAUUGAGGAUUUAGUCAAACCAUCACCUUUUAAAGAAAUGUAAAGCAAAUUCAACUUAAACUGAUGAGAAUGAUAAUUAUCUUUAUAAUUAAUAAAUAGUAUGAUAAUAA